AACCACACCAGGCUGUAGAGCUGGUCGGGCAGGCCCAUUUGCAGGAGUACCGGAGUGACGUACGCGGUCUCCAUGGCGUAGCUGAACUCGAUGCCAAACAGAAUGCAGCCGUUGAAGAGCAGCUCCCGAAACGACCUCUCACAGGGAGAGGAAAACUGAGGCCGGAGGGGGAGGAACAGAGACCUGGAGCAAGAAAGUCCCAGAACUCUGCUGGAUGUCCACCUCACCCACCCGAUGGAAAAGCCACUGACACUCUCCUUUGAAGUCCUUCCUGAGAGGUGACCCCAAAGGGUCGAGAGCCACAGGUUGAGAACUAUAGAUCUGGUACAUGAACCAGAACUAACCCUGACUUUGAAAAACAUCAUCACUCAGCUUCCUGUUUGCAUUGGAGUCAGAUUCUCAAAGCUGAUCGCUCAGGCCUCUUCCUAGACCCUUAAACGCUGUGUGGCCUUAGAGGGACACCGUCAGCAAACUACUGACUCGAGGCCCAGUUCUCACACUUCGUCUCCGGGACUUUCACUCUUUCCGAGGGCCAACUUGUCCCCAAAGUCCCGGCCAGGAGCUCACUAACUUGUGCUUCAUCAGCACCUGACUCUAUUUCCCAUAAGAACAGAAAAACAAACGUUAUAACGACUCCAGGAGCCGUGAGAGGUUGUUUAUUAUCGAGGAGGGAAUCGAGGGAACGCCUCUGUGUCUCCCUUAGCUUGUCACCCUCAGUUGUAUGACUCAGGACAGCGCUAAGAUGACAAGGUGCUCUUCUCAGGAACCCAGACAUCCUGGGAGACGUUUGACCACAAUCCCUGGCCAGCCAAAGGGCUCAGCCUCAGCGAGGAGGUGAACCGGAAGCUGAUGACACCUGCCCAGGUAGCCGGGAACAGGCCUGGGGCUCAAUCAACAUAGCAGAUGCCCGGGGCAAAUUUCACCAGACUGCCUCUCCCUCUAGGCCUGUGGCCGCUUCACCCUGGAGGUUCCACUCUCAGCUUAAUUCAUUAGACACCCAAGAAGAACAAAGGUCCCCAUGUCCGUCUGGAGCCCCCAGCCUGGGCACGAGGACCGUCCUGGGGCCUAAGCCGCAAUGCUCCAGGCGCAAAGCCGCGGAACUGGGUGGAGGGAGCAGGAGAAAACGCCGGUACCUGUGCGUCCAGACGGGAGGCAUCCCUUUCCCAGGCUGGGCUCCUGGUUCUUCGGGGUAUAGCUCCGUCCCAGCCCAGCGCCCCCAGCCCCGCCGCGGCAGCUGCAGCAUCACCCCGCGGGGCGGGGCUGUGACGUCAUGGCUGCAUCCUGCCGCUUGGUCCCGCAGAGCAUCCUUAAAGCAGCAACCGCGCCAGCGCACCUUUGGGGACAGCCCAGGUCGAUGGGCAGAACGCAGAAACAGGAAGCACUGUGACUUGGUGGGGCCCAUCCUCAAAAACCAUGUAAUAGUUUACUUUUCCGUGGUCGUAAAUGCAUUAUAAAAGCGCUUGCCCGAGCCUG
Molecule: non-coding RNA, 1473 nt
Organism: Peromyscus maniculatus bairdii (prairie deer mouse)
Lineage: Eukaryota; Metazoa; Chordata; Mammalia; Rodentia; Cricetidae
Source: RefSeq, a predicted model, not a curated record